GUCAGGAUGGCCGAGUGGUCUAAGGCGCCAGACUCAAGAGCGCAGCUCCUCCCCAGGCUUGGGAUUUCUGGUCUCCAGAUGGAGGCGUGGGUUCAAAUCCCACUUCUGACA
Xenopus tropicalis (tropical clawed frog) is the source of this 111-nucleotide non-coding RNA. NCBI's taxonomy places the organism in Eukaryota, Metazoa, Chordata, Amphibia, Anura, Pipidae. The record is from Rfam.